AGUGAACGCUGGCGGUAGGCCUAACACAUGCAAGUCGAACGGCAGCACAGUAAGAGCUUGCUCUUACGGGUGGCGAGUGGCGGACGGGUGAGGAAUACAUCGGAAUCUACUUUUUCGUGGGGGAUAACGUAGGGAAACUUACGCUAAUAACGCAUACGACCUACGGGUGAAAGCAGGGGAUCUUCGGACCUUGCGCGAUUGAAUGAGCCGAUGUCGGAUUAGCUAGUUGGCGGGGUAAAGGCCCACCAAGGCGACGAUCCGUAGCUGGUCUGAGAGGAUGAGAAGCCAAACUGGAACUGAGACACGGUCCAGACUCCUACGGGUGGCAGCAGUGGGGAAUAUUGGACAAUGGGCGCAAGCCUGAUCCAGCCAUACCGCGUGGGUGAAGAAGGCCUUCGGGUUGUAAAGCUCUUUUGUUGGGAAAGAAAAGCAGCACGUUAAUACCCCGCUGUUCUGACGGUACCCAAAGAAUAAGCACCGGCUAACUUCGUG
Molecule: ribosomal RNA, 492 nt
Filed under: uncultured bacterium
Lineage: Bacteria
Description: partial 16S ribosomal RNA
Rfam family: Bacterial small subunit ribosomal RNA
Source: RNAcentral